Polypterus senegalus (gray bichir) is the source of this 2073-nucleotide long non-coding RNA. RefSeq lists it as uncharacterized. The transcript is spliced from 5 exons. Lineage: Eukaryota; Metazoa; Chordata; Cladistia; Polypteriformes; Polypteridae. The record is from RefSeq and is a predicted model, not a curated record.
GUUUUCUUCACAGGAUUCUUGGAAAGAUUUGAGACAGCCUGGCAAAAAACAAUCAGAAAGAGCGCAUGUAUCUCUUCUCUCACACGCUGAAGAAGUGAAGUGAUCUGUGAAAAUGUAUUGUGUAUAACUCAGAGGAGAGGCAAGAAACAAAAAUCUACCAUGUCAUGGUUGGUAAUUUGCAGUUCAAAACAUCCACCAAUUUUCUUCAGACAAGUACCCCAUCUAUAGAACUUCAGCUGCUCAGGAUUUGAAGGGUCAGUCUCUGAGAGCGAUGAGGUGGCGGUCCUAGCCUCUGCACCACCAGACUUAAAUCAUACAAUCUGAAAUUAAGGCUCUGCUAAAAUUAGACAGUUGUUUUAACGGGUGCCAUGCCUUUUUUAGGCAGGAUGACCAAGAGUGUGCAGCAUGUGACAUCAUUACCACAGCAGUAGCUGAUGCCAUUCACUAACCAAGAAAAAAGGGCUACACAAUGAAGAAAAACAUCUUUAGUUGACUGAUACUCAGCACUCCCUUCUGAAAAUAUUAUAAAUAAAAGGAAAAAUAUGUUGACAACUCCUUAGGCCAUACAAUACAACACAGCUCUAUUUACCCAUCAACAUCUUAAGAAUGCUACUUUCCAGUCCAAAAAGGCAACACCUGUUUUUAAGAGAUGACAUCACGUCCUGGCAUUAAUUUGUAGUUAUCUUACAAGUGUGUGUGUGUGUGAUUCUGUUUAAUUUAAAACUGAAAGCACUGUAAGCAUAUUAAUGUAGUUCUGCCAUACUUGUCUGGAUUUGCUACUGUUUGCAAGGCGAUUAAUCAAUCAAAGUUAGAUCAGCUCACUGUAAUCAUUUUAAUGUAUUAAUAGUUGACAGGCAACAAAACACAUUUCCAAAUUCAAAACAGUUUAUGUUUCCUUCUGUUAUAUGCUUACAGUUGUCUCACACCUACAUAAAACAAUUUAGGGUCAUGAUGGAGCCAGAGCCUGUCCUGGCAGCAUCAGACAGAAGGGAGGAACCAGCUCUAAACGAGCCACCAGUCCAAAGUGAGGCUGAUUCACACAGACCCCCCCACUCCAGUAUCAGGCCAGUUUAGAAUCACCAGUUGUCCUAACAUGCACAUCUUUUGGACAUGGGAGGAAACCUGAUAAAUCUGCAGAAAUAUCCAAGCAGAAAUGAGAAGAUGGUUCAAACUGCUAGUAGAAAAGGCAUACAGGCUUCUCCAACUUUAAGAAGCAGCUAAUCCAUUGUUGAGUACUCUGUGAAUAAAGUGAAUUUUCAUAAAUUUAUUACAAUUAAUUUAAAUGGAAAACAUUUUUAAGCAUUUCUUGAUCCCAUUUUUUUUCCCCACUAUAUGAAAACUGACAGAGUUUUACUAUAGCAUUAGUCAUCAAAACAAGCCAGAAUAAGGUAUUCCCCUUCAUUAAAUAAUGUUUAAUAAAAUGAUUUACCUAUACGCUAUUUCAAAGGAAUUGCCUUUCACUUUUCCUAGGGCUUUUCCAAGUUGUACUUAAUCUGCUUUGGAGCAUUGAUGAUCAGAAAAAAGUGAGAAAUGUAAGCAACAUAAAUGAACCACAGCACAUGAACACAAAAGUAAGCCUUGCUCCAGCCUGUGGAUCAGCCCCACUCCAUAUGCAGGCUUCUGUGAGAAUAGUAUCUGAACAUUGCAUCAUGAGGCAUGGAAAUAACUGAGUCUGGAGACUGCGCAACACCAACAUUUAGCCCCACCCUCAAACAUCCAGCCCUGCCCACUCGUGCAGGCUGUAACAAGGUGCAUUUGGAAUGACUGUGUAGAUGACCAGGUGAUAGCACCACUGGCACACACCCUAUUCUUCAUAUACAGUAUGCACAUUUUUAUAAAACAUACAAAAUCUGUAUUUUAGAUAAUUGUGUGAAGAAUUGUGUUCAUUUGCAUUGCCUAUUUGUUUUUGGUUUAAUACUACUGUAAUAUACGUUUCUAGAGAAGUAUAUUGAAGUAAAAUUAUCAUUUUCAUUUGAGAAUGUACUAAAAUAAAGUUAAAGUAGAUAGAAAAUUUUAUAUUCAAGUAAAUUAGGAACAUUCUCAAAACAAAUACUCCAUUCUGAAUUAAAAAUA